RNAcentral lists this ribosomal RNA (253 nucleotides) under uncultured bacterium. RNAcentral describes it as "partial 16S ribosomal RNA". It matches the Rfam family "Bacterial small subunit ribosomal RNA", at positions 524 to 776 of the family's 1533-position model. The record is from RNAcentral.
UACGUAGGGGGCAAGCGUUGUCCGGAAUUACUGGGCGUAAAGGGCUCGUAGGCGGCCAACUAAGUCGGAUGUGAAAUCCCCAGGCUCAACCUGGGAACUGCAUCCGAUACUGGAUGGCUUGAAUUCGGGAGAGGGAUGCAGAAUUCCAGGUGUAGCGGUGAAAUGCGUAGAUAUCUGGAGGAAUACCGGUGGCGAAGGCGGCAUCCUGGACCGACAUUGACGCUGAUGAGCGAAAGCUAGGGGAGCAAACGGG